RNAcentral lists this long non-coding RNA (4000 nucleotides) under Durio zibethinus. RNAcentral's name for it is "long non-coding RNA (DZIB_LNC000630)". Lineage: Eukaryota; Viridiplantae; Streptophyta; Magnoliopsida; Malvales; Malvaceae. The record is from RNAcentral.
UUCCUAAACAGUUAUUUAAACCAUUAAAAUUUUUUCAUCCCCUUAUCAGCAGCAAUUUGAGUACCAAAAAUUCAUUUCUCCUCCAAAAAAAAUCACAAUCCAAUCCGAUCAAGCUGCCAUUGGCUUCAACCGAAAAUCAGUUUCUCAGCCAACAUGGCCUGUAAGAUGUCCCAUGUCCUUUCUAUGCUUGUCCUGCUAUUAUCACUUUCACUACUCUUUCCUCCAGCUUCUACCAGAAACACGCAACUAGGUAAGUGUUAACUAUGUAAGUUCCAGAUUCUGAGUUCUUCUAAGUUAAAGAUUCUUUCUCUCUUUUGAGUUGUUCAGUACUUUGUUUUUUUUUUUUUUUUUUGGGUUUAUCGUAGGAAAGAAGGUCAAUGAAGAGAUUCAGAGAAACCUAAUAGGAAUACCAAGACAUGGUCCCCGUCAUGCACAAACAGGUAAUCGCCCAGCCUCCCCUUGUCCACCUCUUGUUGCCGAUAACGAGAAGAAAAAAUUUACUUGGGCAACCAAGGGCCAUAACUAAAGGCUACAAAACAAAGCCUUGCUAUGAGAUUAAUAAUUCUCUAAAAUUAAGAUUCCUUUGGUGAAAACUUUUUCUUUUUUCUUUUUAUUUUUCAAAUAAUGAAAGAAAAGAAAAAAACAAAAAAUAAAAUUUAAAUAGAAAACUAAAAAAGAAAAAAACGUUUUACAUUAUUGUAAGUUUUUACACUCUUUUUAUCCUAAAUCAAAAUGGUUAAAACUAAAAAUAUUAUUUUAAUCUAAAAGUAGUGAUAAAUUUAAGUUUAUUUAAUAGUCAAAAAAAUUGUAAAACUUACAUUGAUGUAAGUGGAUUUCUACUCCAAAAAAUAUAUAAAAAGAGUAGUGAGAAGAUGCUGUAAGUGUUGCUGAGCGAAUAGCCUGAAACACAACUUUAUCCCUUCUCUUUAUGUUACCUUCUCAGUGAUUUCAGGAAGUAUCAAUUUCAGUGAUUUUCUUGUGAUGGUGUAAUACUCUAUUUGAUCCUUAUCUUUUUUUUCUCUUUCUCCUAUUGCUAUAUUACACAUAAUCAUCAUAUCUAUAAGCAAAAUAAGUAUAUUGCUAUAUUAAUAAGAAUAAAAAAAUAAAAAUGUUUAUAUUUUAAUUAAAAAAACUUGAAAUUUGUAAAAAAAAAAAAGAAAGAAAGAAAAUGUGGUCAUAUAUGUUUAUAUUUCAUGAAUAAAAAAUUCUUUUUGCCUUCAAAAUAAAAGAUAUUAAAAAAAUUCGUUAAUUAUUAAUGAAAUUGGAAAUUAAGGCCUCUUUCAUGUUAAAGUUUUCAACGAAUUGUCCCCAAUUUAAUCAAAGUGAGUAUUUAUAAUAUUAAAAUUUGUCAUAGUCUCAACGUAGAGUUUACUCCAUUGAACAGUGUUGACUGCCACGUAAUGAUCAUACUAUGGUUAAAACAACACGUCUCGCAACUUCUUAUUUGCUCUUUAUUCCCUUUCAACUUCGGGUUUCGAUUCGUGCUUUGAGUCAAAGAAGGGGGGACAAUACUUGCAACUACCCACCAAUGUCACAUCAUUAAAAUUGUUUAUUUGAGUGAUAUCAUGAUUCCAAGAAAUUUCUUCAAAGAAAAAUUUUUAUUAUAUCUAAUCUGUCCAAAUAUAAUUUUAAGUUUGACUUGGAUUAAAACGCACCAAUUUUAAGUUUGACUUGGACAAUGCUUGCAACUACGUACCAAUGUCACUAUCAUUAAAACUGUUUAUUUGAGUGAUAUCAUGAUUCCAAGAAAUUUCGUCAAAGAAAAAUUUCAUUAUAUCUAAUCUGUCCAAAUAUCGUUAAAAUUUUUAUUACAUAUAAAUUUUAAUAUAAUAUUUUUAAUGAUCAUUUUUUUCAUCAUAAUUCAAUUCAUCAUUAUUAUUUUAUUUAUAUCUAAACAUAUAUUUUUAUUAUUAAUUUUAAUUUUAUUAUUAUAAUAAUCAAUCUUAACUUUAUUACUAUUUUAAAUUUUAUUAAAAUUAUCCUUAUUAUUCGUCCAAAUAAAUUCAUAAGUUUUCACGAUAACAAUAAAUUGAGAGAAAAAAAUAUAAAAGCUAACAUCAAUUUGGUGUGGUCCUUUUUUUUUAUUAUUCAGCAAAAGUGUUGACAUCCAUCGUAUGUCAUCACUAGCAUAAUCAUUUUGAAAUUUCAAAGGGUAAACAGGAUAAAUAAAACCGUGAAAUCUUUGGGGAAUAUGAUGCAUGAACCCAAAAUUGAUUAUUGAAUCCUCUUUCUCUUCCAACAUAAUCACAAUCCAAUCUGGUCCAGCUACUGUUAGCUUCAACUAGAAAUCAGUUUCUUAUAGCAAACAUGCCGGCUUGUAAGAUGUCCCGUAUUCUUUUAAUAGUUGUCUUACGGCUAUCAGUGUCACUCUUCCCUCAAACUUCAACCAGAAACAAACACUUUGGUAAGUGUUAGCCUGUGUAAUAAUGUAAGUUAUAACUAUAUAUGAAGAGGGAAAAAAAGUUUCAAUUUCGUAUAUUUAUAUUCUUUUAAAAUUUCAUUUGUUUCGCCAAAAUUAACUUCUAAAAAAUAUUUUCUGAAAAAUAUGUAUAUUUUUUGGUAAGGAUGUUUUGUUAUUUGGAUGAGUUAAUAAAAAAUAUUUUAUAUUAUUUGAUUAUUUUUUGAAAAAUCUCUUUCCUUGUUCAAUAAUACUAAUAUAACUAUUAAAAUAUUAAAAAUGAUUUAUUAUAAAAAUAUAUUAAAAUUAUUUAUUAUUAAAAUUAUUAAUAUUCAAGAAUAAUUAUAUUCUAAUAAUAAUAUUUAAUACUAAAAUAUUAUAUCAAUAUAAAAAAACUUAAAAUAAACCUAUUUAUUAUUCUUUUUAUUAAUAUUUUAAAAUAUUUAAAAUGGUAUUAAUAUUCUUAAAAUAUUAUUUUUAUUAAUAUUAAAAUAGUAAUAUUUAUUAUUAAAAUAUUUAUAUUUUAUAUUGAAAGUAUCUAUUAUUGAAUUAUAACAAAAAUAUUUUUUAUUUAUAUUUAUUAUUAAAAUAGCAAUACAAAUACCUUAAUAAAUAAAAUAUAAAAUUAUAUAUUUUAACCAAAAAAUAAUAAGAAAUUAUGUAAAAUAUUCAUAUUAAGAAAAUAAUAUUAUAAUAUUAUCUAAAAUUAAUUAUUAAAAUAAUGAAAAUAUUAUUAUAUAUGUUAUUGUUUAUUAAUAAAAUAAUAAUAUAAUACUACUUAUUAUUGCAAUAUAAAAAAUAUUUCGUAUAAUAAUAUACAAAAUAAAAAUCUUUAAAAUUGAAAUAUAAAAAGAUUUUUAAUGAUAAUAUAUUAAUUUUUAAUUAAAAUUAAGUAAAAUAUUUUAUUAAUAUAAUAAUAUUUUAAGUCAAAUCAAUCAAAUAUAUUAUAUUCAAAGUUUUAUUUGAGUAAAAUUAUAAAAUAUUUAAAAUUAAAAUAUUAAAAAAUUUUAAUAUUAAUAUCCUAAUUUUUUAAGUAAGAUUACAUAAAAAUAUUAUUUGCUAAUAUAAUAAUAUGUAGGUAUGAUCAAAUUAAGUUUGCGUUUAAAAAAAUCGUGUAUAAGAUUCAAUUUGAGUAAAUUAUGUUAAAAUACAUUGAUAAAUAAUUUUAUUAAUUAUAAAUUUUUAGAAAAAUUAUUUUUUCUUUUUCAAAAGAAAAAGAUAAUUUCCAAAAAAAUUAUUUUAUUUUUUAUUGAUCAAUUAUUUUUUGCUGGCGAAGCAAUUUUUUGUCAAAUAAUUAUUUAAAAAUAUAAAAAUUAUUUUUUAACGAAACGAACGGAACUUGAAAUUUUAAAAUUUUAUCUCUAAUUGGGCUGUAUUUUUUUUUUUUUUGCUUAUUGUAGGAAAGUCGGUGUACGAUGUGGUUCAUAGAAAUGUGAGAAGUUAUCAAAAACCACCACGCUGUCAUAUUUUCCUGGGAGCCGCCGCAGUUAUAGUCCAAUCGACAAUUGUCCUUCCGUGAGGACCAAUAGCUGCAAGCUGCAAGCCUUGCGUAUUCGUAUUGGGAAAUGUAAUGAUUGUUUUUGCAUAUAUGAUGUGUGAAAG